Molecule: non-coding RNA, 1403 nt
Organism: Sus scrofa (pig)
Lineage: Eukaryota; Metazoa; Chordata; Mammalia; Artiodactyla; Suidae
Source: RefSeq, a predicted model, not a curated record
GUAGAGAAAAAUCUCCCAGGAACCCUCCUUCCUAAAGGAAGGGUAACAAAUUCCGAGCCAGAACCAGAGCUAAGAGCCAAGAGUGGAGAAUAAGCUGCAGAACGAGAUUCCUGACAGCAGCACUCUGAUUUGUAUUUGGGAUAGUAAACCUUGAGCCACAGUGAGGAAGGGGAGUUGAACAGAAAUCUCUGCAUCACACCAAAAUAGCGCAGCCCUCCGACUCCAGCAAAAGCAGGUGCUCUGACUUUUGGCCUCACUACUGACGGAUGCAGCAGCUCAGGCCCAGCACUGACAACCAUCCACCAAACUCAGGUCGCCUCUGAGAGUAAGAACUGUGGGCUCUGAGUCCUCUCUGCCCCCAUCUUCUGCCCCUCAACAGUCCCCCGGAAUCUGGCCAGGCUUCUCUCCUGGGUGAGUACCUGUGUGACCUUGGCUAUUGCAUACACCAUCCACAGAGACUCUGCCCCUGGCAAGGCGAGCCCUCUCUGCACCCUGUGUUAGUCACACGGUGAAAUGUCAUUAUUGUCAUCAUCAUGGUUAAUAUUUAGAGAUUAUCUACAAUUUCACUUUGCCUUUCUGCAAAAUAAGGAUAAUAUUCCCCAACUUCCCUACUUCUCAGGGUUGCUUCAAGAGAUAAAUUGGUUAAUGUGUUGGUCCAAUAUAUGCUUGUGGCCCAAACAUUGAAGGUGGUCAAUUCAGGACACAGCAGGGAAGGCAGUUUUCCUCCAAAGUCAGGCUGGCUGGUUUGACCCUGAUGCCAUCAUCAUUAGUGAGCUGGUCUAGGUGACAUUAUUUGACUUCUUCAUGCAUCUCCAUCUGUAAAGCAGGAGUGAUUGGAGUACCUAAAUUUCAGGGGUUUAGUGUAAGACAAGCCCUUGUACAGUAGGCAUUAAUGGAAGUUCUUUCUUGUAACAUUAAGAGAGACUCUUGGUUCUUAUUAUAAAACAUAACUAGAGGGGGAUAUUGUCCCUGUUUCUUGAACUCUUUGCGCAGUAAAAAUGGAACAUAAAAUGCUUGGACAGGAGGAGGGCCAUACGUACAGGUUAGAAUUUUAAGAAUAAUGGAGACUCAUGAAACAGCCUAAGUAGGAGAGAAGUUUCAUAAAAAGAUAAGUCCCAUUCCUGUGUGUGGAGACUGUAUUGUGUGGGGACCAUGUACAGAGGAGGCAUGCAGGCAACUGUUACAAUGGUAUGAGAGUGGAGAAGUGCAGGGGUUCUGUCAAGCUCUAGGAAGUGGAGGUGAUGGGCUUGGUAACUGGUGGGUGAUGUGGAAAGUGAGGAGAGGAAGGGGCAUAGGAUGAGUUCAUGUUUUGAGCCAGAGUGAAUAUUGUUUUCCUUUUCUGACUUGGGCUCUAAAAAAGGUGGAAAAAAAUUAUAUACAAAGAAAAAAUAUUGAAAGCAGCU